Molecule: ribosomal RNA, 253 nt
Filed under: uncultured bacterium
Lineage: Bacteria
Description: partial 16S ribosomal RNA
Rfam family: Bacterial small subunit ribosomal RNA
Source: RNAcentral
UACGGAGGGUGCGAGCGUUGUUCGGAAUCACUGGGCGUAAAGCGCGUGUAGGCGGCCCACUAAGUCUGAUGUGAAAGCCCGGGGCUCACCCCCGGAAGUGCAUUGGAAACUGGUGGACUCGAGUCCCGGAGAGGAGAGUGGAAUUCCUGGUGUAGCGGUGAAAUGCGUAGAUAUCAGGAGGAACACCGGUGGCGAAGGCGGCUCUCUGGGCCGGUACUGACGCUGAGGAGCGAAAGCGUGGGGAGCAAACAGG